This 272-nucleotide long non-coding RNA is filed under the name Musa acuminata (dwarf banana). Its description in RNAcentral is "long non-coding RNA (MACU_LNC009810)". Lineage: Eukaryota; Viridiplantae; Streptophyta; Magnoliopsida; Zingiberales; Musaceae. The record is from RNAcentral.
UCAUUGCCUAAUGUAUCCCAGGAUGAAUUGCACGAAUUACCUCCAAAACGUGACUUUGCUUUUGAUUUGGUCCUUGGGACAAUCCCAAUAUCUAAGCCUCUCUACAGAAUGACAUCAUUUGAGUAAAUGGAAUUAGAAAAAGCAACUACAAUGACUAUUAAAUAAGGAUUUUAUUUGGCUUAAUAUUUCAUCAUGGGGUGUUCCGGGGUUUGUUAAAAAGAAGGAUGGAACAUUAAGGCUUUGUAUUGAUUAUAGACAGUUGAAUCAGGUGA